CCACUAACCCUAGUGGCCUCGAUAAAAACGGGAAGCUGGCAGCUUGUUGAAGGUUCCCUUCCCCCCCCCCCAUUUUCCUUGAUUUUUUCCUGGUAUAUUUUGAAAUUCAGCACACUUUGGCAGUUAUGGCGUUGGUGGCAUCGCAAAAACUGCCAAAAUGCGUUGUAGGCAUUCCAAAAAUCUGAUUGCCACUCAUGUAGGUAGGCCUACUAUUUGUCUUCGUUAACUCUGAAGCAUUUUCUCUUUAGCUCUUGGUCUAUAAUUUAUAUGUAGGUAAAGGAUAAGGAAAAUUUCAUAACAACUUUAAAACUUUCAGCCAAAAAGACUUUAUUUGCAGCAUCCAGUAAAAUGCGCUGUUCACUCCGGCACAAAAAUGGGUGUGACGAAAAAGUUUCAAGGCUUCAUAAAAACCUACAAUAGUGAAAACUCUGAAACUCUCAGUGAAAAGGAUGCAAUAGAAGGUAUCCUGCCAUGGCACAAUUUACUGCCUCAUACCUUACCUUGAGGUUACCUUGAGGUGCUUCCGGGGCUUAGCGUCCCCGCGGCCCGGUCGUCGACCAGGCCUCCUGGUUGCCUGGUUGCUCAUCAUAGCAAAAAUGUGUCCCUGGCUCAAAAAAAAAAGAAGGCAGUAGAAGAUGUGGAGCUUCAGAAGAGAUCCAGAGAGAAGCAACAACAUACCAUUCAAGAAAUGUUGCAUUAUCUCAUAUAUUACAAGAAGAAGAGAGAGAUUUUAACCAAACAUACUAAAGAGUUAUGUGGAAUUUUCCCUUCAUAUCUAAGCAAGGUGUGAGACAGAGAGGGACAAGAUCAUCCAAGAGGAACAACACCUGAAGGUUGAUCCACACCUGAAGGUAGCACCACACCUGAAGGCAGCACCACACUUGAAGGCAGGUCCACACCUGAAGGCAGCACCACACCUGAAGGCAGCACCACACCUGAAGGCAGCACCACACCUGAAGGCAGCACCACACCUGAAGGCAGCACCACACCCUCCACUUUUGCAGUUUUGCCCCAUUUGCCAGCAACAUUUGGCUGCUUUAAUUAAUAAUUAAUUAAUUCUCUCCACAAACAGGACCAAAACUUGCUCCAAGCGAAAUCACAGUUUCGGGCGAUCGAGCGGCAACACGGAAAAGUGUAUACUCUUUUCACUGUGCUGACCUUAAUUUUCGAUGUACAUAUUUCAUUUUUGUAUCAAUGUGUUCGCAAUAGAAUGUUCUAGAAGAACAUAUGUAUAAAAUGUCACCAAACUG
This is a non-coding RNA of Procambarus clarkii (red swamp crayfish), 1250 nucleotides long. The record is from RefSeq and is a predicted model, not a curated record. Lineage: Eukaryota; Metazoa; Arthropoda; Malacostraca; Decapoda; Cambaridae.